Molecule: long non-coding RNA, 915 nt
Organism: Lycium barbarum (goji berry)
Lineage: Eukaryota; Viridiplantae; Streptophyta; Magnoliopsida; Solanales; Solanaceae
Exons: 5
Source: RefSeq, a predicted model, not a curated record
UAUUUAACUAUUUUCUCCUUUUUAUUGCAAUUUCUACUUCAUACUACUAAAAAACCCCAGGAAAAAAAAAGAAAAAUCCCACCGGUUCGGUGCUUUCGCGUAGAAUCCCAAGAGUCGCUUCUUAAAAACCACCCAAUAAGCUAAAGCCUUUGGCCUCACAUGCCGCUUCAACCAAACACGGCUUCUCUUAAAAAAAAAAAAAAAAAAAAAAAAAACUGAAGAGAAGUUUACCGGUGAGGAUUGAGGAAGAUCGUUUGUUAAUUCAUCUAUUCUUUCACAUAAACUUCUUAAACUCUACGAACUUUGAUUAUUUAUUUUGUGGGACAAUCUUUUUGUUGCUACAAUUGCAUCUUUUAAUCAGUUUGUCAUCUUUUUCGCUCUGUAUAUCGUAUUGGAAAAUUCUGGUGGGAUUCCUUUUAUUUGUGGUUCACCAGAUGUGGCUCAAUGUCUCUACUUUGGGACUUAGUAAGUUAAGAAAGACAAUAAAGAGUUGUGAGAGUUAAAAUAAACAAUCAUGUCCAUUAUGACCCUCUAAUUCUGGUGAUAGUCAUGGAUAAGUUCUUCGAAUCUCAAGUUCAAGCAAAUAAGCAAAGAGCUCAUAGGUACAUGUCGAACCAUCUUUAUUCGUUGAAGCAUAUGCUAUUCUACCCCUGAAGGUGGUUGUUGCUUUAUGCGGAGGGAAUCUAAAGUGUGUGCAAAGGGCAUGAAUUUCGACCCCUCCGAUGGAAAUAAAAAAAACAGAUCCCACACAACAACUUCUACCAACGAAGUGUCCAGGCAAAUUACCCUGAUUAUUUCAGGGGCAGAGCCAGAUAAAGCUUAAUUGCAUAUUUCUGUUUGGAGAUGCAGAUUCAGGAGGAAAACGUUUGGUGAUUUUUCCAAAGCUUGGCCGUUCACUCUUUCUUAUUGUACAAG